RNAcentral lists this small nuclear RNA (22 nucleotides) under Arabidopsis thaliana (thale cress). RNAcentral's name for it is "snRNA_14133". Lineage: Eukaryota; Viridiplantae; Streptophyta; Magnoliopsida; Brassicales; Brassicaceae. The record is from RNAcentral.
UCAACUAUUGCACAAUAUUUAU